RNAcentral lists this transfer RNA (33 nucleotides) under Tadorna variegata. RNAcentral describes it as "partial tRNA-Lys". Lineage: Eukaryota; Metazoa; Chordata; Aves; Anseriformes; Anatidae. The record is from RNAcentral.
CUAGCCAAAGAGGAAUCGCCCCCUCCUUAAUGA